UACGUAGGGUGCGAGCGUUAAUCGGCAUUACUGGGCGUAAAGCGUGCGCAGGCGGUUUUGUAAGCCAGAUGUGAAAUCCCCGGGCUUAACCUGGGAAUGGCAUUUGGGACUGCAAGGCUGGAGUGCGGCAGAGGAGACUGGAAUUCCUGGUGUAGCAGUGAAAUGCGUAGAUAUCAGGAGGAACACCGAUGGCGAAGGCAGGUCUCUGGGCUGACACUGACGCUCAUGCACGAAAGCGUGGGGAGCAAACAGG
RNAcentral lists this ribosomal RNA (253 nucleotides) under uncultured bacterium. Its description in RNAcentral is "partial 16S ribosomal RNA". It matches the Rfam family "Bacterial small subunit ribosomal RNA", at positions 524 to 776 of the family's 1533-position model. The record is from RNAcentral.